This 278-nucleotide ribosomal RNA is filed under the name uncultured Hyphomicrobiales bacterium. RNAcentral's name for it is "uncultured Rhizobiales bacterium partial 16S ribosomal RNA". It matches the Rfam family "Bacterial small subunit ribosomal RNA", at positions 503 to 780 of the family's 1533-position model. Lineage: Bacteria; Pseudomonadati; Pseudomonadota; Alphaproteobacteria; Hyphomicrobiales. The record is from RNAcentral.
UUGUGCCAGCCGCCGCGGUAAUACGAAGGGGGCUAGCGUUGCUCGGAAUCACUGGGCGUAAAGGGCGCGUAGGCGGCCAUUUAAGUCGGGGGUGAAAGCCUGUGGCUCAACCACAGAAUUGCCUUCGAUACUGGGUGGCUUGAGUCCGGAAGAGGUUGGUGGAACUGCGAGUGUAGAGGUGAAAUUCGUAGAUAUUCGCAAGAACACCGGUGGCGAAGGCGGCCAACUGGUCCGGAACUGACGCUGAGGCGCGAAAGCGUGGGGAGCAAACAGGAUUA